This 467-nucleotide ribosomal RNA is filed under the name uncultured archaeon. Its description in RNAcentral is "bacterial SSU rRNA". It matches the Rfam family "Archaeal small subunit ribosomal RNA", at positions 1 to 474 of the family's 1478-position model. The record is from RNAcentral.
UUCUGGUUGAUCCUGCCGGACCUGACUGCUAUCGGAUUGAUACUAAGCCAUGCGAGUCUUUGUAGUAAUACAUGGCAGACGGCUCAGUAACACGUAGUCAACCUACCCUAUGGACGAGAAUAAUCUCGGGAAACUGAGCAUAAUUCUUGAUAGAUCAUAAUGCCUGGAAUGGUUUAUGGUUAAAAUGAUUCGUCGCCAUAGGAUGGGACUGCGGCCUAUCAGCUUGUUGGUGAGGUAAUGGCCCACCAAGGCGAUUACAGGUACGGGCUCUGAGAGGAGAAGCCCGGAGAUGGGUACUGAGACACGGACCCAGGCCCUAUGGGGCGCAGCAGGCGAGAAAACUUUGCAAUGUGCGAAAGCACGACAAGGUUAAUCCGAGUGAUUUCUGCUAAAGAAAUCUUUUGCCAGUCGUAAAACCGCUGGUGAAUAAGGGGUGGGCAAGUUCUGGUGCCAGCAGCCGCGAUAAU